GAAAAGCCGGAAUAGCUCAGUUGGUAGAGCAGAGGACUGAA
This 41-nucleotide transfer RNA is filed under the name Encalypta ciliata. Its description in RNAcentral is "partial tRNA-Phe". Lineage: Eukaryota; Viridiplantae; Streptophyta; Bryopsida; Encalyptales; Encalyptaceae. The record is from RNAcentral.